GCGCUCGUAGUUCAGCUGGAUUAGAAUGCCAGACUACGAAUCUGGAGGUCGGGGGUUCGAGUCCCUCCGAGCGCG
Molecule: transfer RNA, 75 nt
Filed under: Binatus sp. (SeqCode)
Lineage: Bacteria; Candidatus Binatota; Binatia (SeqCode); Binatales (SeqCode); Binataceae (SeqCode)
Also listed under: 9 other names
Description: tRNA-Arg
Rfam family: tRNA
About the family: Transfer RNA (tRNA) molecules are approximately 80 nucleotides in length. Their secondary structure includes four short double-helical elements and three loops (D, anti-codon, and T loops).
Source: RNAcentral